This 253-nucleotide ribosomal RNA is filed under the name uncultured bacterium. RNAcentral describes it as "partial 16S ribosomal RNA". It matches the Rfam family "Bacterial small subunit ribosomal RNA", at positions 524 to 776 of the family's 1533-position model. The record is from RNAcentral.
UACGGGGGGGGCAAGCGUUGUUCGGAAUUACUGGGCGUAAAGGGCUCGUAGGUGGCCCCAUAAGUCAGACGUGAAAUCCCUCGGCUCAACCGAGGAACUGCGUCUGAGACUGCGGGGCUUGAAUCCGGGAGAGGGAUGCGGAAUUCCAGGUGUAGCGGUGAAAUGCGUAGAUAUCUGGAGGAACACCGGUGGCGAAGGCGGCAUCCUGGACCGGUAUUGACACUGAGGAGCGAAAGCCAGGGGGGCAAACGGG